CCCCCUAGAUGUUCUGGGCCGCACGCGCGCUACACUGAACAGUUCAACAAGUCUUAACCUUGGCCGAUAGGUCUGGGUAAUCUUUGAACGCUGUUCGUGAUUGGGAUAGACCUUUGCAAUUAUGGGUCUUCAACGAGGAAUUCCUAGUAAACGCAAGUCAUCAGCUUGCAUUGAUUACGUCCCUGCCCUUUGUACACACCGCCCGUCGCACCUACCGAUUGAAUGGUCCGGUGAAAUCUCGGGACGGCGGCUUGGUCGCUUGCGUCCGACUGCUGAAACUUGAUUAAACCAUAUCAUUUAGAGGAAGGUGAANUCGUAACA
Molecule: ribosomal RNA, 321 nt
Filed under: uncultured eukaryote
Lineage: Eukaryota
Description: partial 18S ribosomal RNA
Rfam family: Eukaryotic small subunit ribosomal RNA
Source: RNAcentral